This 446-nucleotide ribosomal RNA is filed under the name uncultured bacterium. RNAcentral describes it as "bacterial SSU rRNA". It matches the Rfam family "Bacterial small subunit ribosomal RNA", at positions 329 to 792 of the family's 1533-position model. The record is from RNAcentral.
UCCCAGACUCCUACGGGAGGCAGCAGUGGGGGAUAUUGCACAAUGGGGGAAACCCUGAUGCAGCGACGCCGCGUGAGUGAAGAAGUAUUUCGGUAUGUAAAGCUCUAUCAGCAGGGAAGAAAAUGACAGUACCUGACCAAGAAGCCCCGGCUAACUACGUGCCAGCAGCCGCGGUAAUACGUAGGGGGCAAGCGUUAUCCGGAUUUACUGGGUGUAAAGGGGGCGCAGACGGCGAUGCAAGCCAGGAGUGAAAGCCCGGGGCCCAACCCCGGGACUGCUCUUGGAACUGCGUGGCUGGAGUGCAGGAGGGGCAGGCGGAAUUCCUGGUGUAGCGGUGAAAUGCGUAGAUAUCAGGAGGAACACCGGCGGCGAAGGCGGCCUGCUGGACCGUAACUGACGUUGAGGCUCGAAAGCGUGGGGAGCAAACAGGAUUAGAUACCCUAGUA